RNAcentral lists this long non-coding RNA (1472 nucleotides) under Homo sapiens (human). RNAcentral's name for it is "HSALNT0307781". The record is from RNAcentral. Lineage: Eukaryota; Metazoa; Chordata; Mammalia; Primates; Hominidae.
UUCUCAUGAAUAGUUCAACACCAUCCCCUUGGUGCUUUCGUAGCAAUAGUGCGUGAGUUCUCAUGAGAUCUGGUUGUUUAAAGCUGUGUGGCACCUUUCCCACCACUGUCUUUUGCUCCUGCUUUCACCAUGUGAUGUGCUUGCUCUCCCUUGCCUUCCACUAUAAUUGUAAGCUUCCUGAAGCCCUCCCAGAAGCUGAUGUCAGAGCUCUGCUUCCUAUACAGCCCAUAGAACUGGAAGUCAAUUAAACCUGUUUUCAUUAUAAAUUACCCAGUCUCUGGUAUUUCUUUGGAGCGAUGUAAGAAUGGUUUAAUACACAUGGUGUGUCUUUUCCAUCCUUUUACUUCCAAGCUAACUAUAUAAUUAUAUUUGAAGUAGUUUCCUUUAGACAACAUAUUGUUGGGUUAUAUUUAUUUUGGUUGAUUGGCUGGUUUUUGUUCAGUCUUCCCAUCUGUAAUUUAAUUGUAUUUGUAGCAUUGAUACUUAAUGUUAUUAUUGUCAGGGCUUAAGUCUGUAACUUUAUUUUUUGUUUUCUCACCGUUGUUUGCUCUCACUGUUGUUUGUUCCUGUGUUUUAUUUUUUCUUGCCUUCCUGUGGAUUACAUGAACAUUUUGUAGAGUUUUAUUUUGAUUGAUCUAUAGUGUUUUUGAGCAUAUCUUUUUGUAUAGUAUCUUUAGUGGUUGCUCUAGGUAUAACAUUAUAUACAUAUAUAACUAAUCAAAAUCUACUGGUGUUGACAUUUUACCUGUUGAAGUAUAGAAACUUUACUGUCCAUUACACUCCUUCUAAACAUAUAAUAUAGUUAUCUGAAAUAUUCCUCUACAUAUAUUGAGAGCCAUCUUAGACAGUGUUAUAUAUUUUGCUUCAACCAUCAAACAUAAAAACUAUUGUAUUUUCCAUAAUUUUGCUUCUGCCAUUUUUUUCUUUUCUGUUGUUUUAUUUCUCCUAGUAUCAUCCAAUUUCUGUUUUAUUAACGCUCUUUAUUCUUUUAGGGUAGAUCUACUUGCAUCAAAUUAUCUUGGUUUUCAUUCAUCUUAAAAUGUUUUGAUUUCCCUUUCAUUUCUGAAUGAUAUUUUUUCUGUCUAUAAAAUUCUAGGUUGGUAGUUUUUUUUUUUUCAGUACUUGAAUUAGGCUUUGUCAUUUCCUUUCAGCCUCCUUUGAUUUCUCAUGAGAAAUGCACUGUCAUUGGAAUCGUUUUUCCCUUAAAGAAACUGUGUUGUUUGGGACAGUGAUGGCACCAGCUGGAUAUGAUUCUCAGGUUCCCUUGAAAUUAGGGAUGGCCUUAUGAUAGUUCUUGUCCAUCAGGCAUAAGCAGAAAUGUUGGCCAUUUGGGAAAAGCUUCAGUUUUAUCAGCAGAUAUACAUUCAUACUUUGAGGCGGCUGGCAAGAUGGCGGAAUAGAAACAGCUUCGGUCUGCAGCUCCCAGCGAGAUCAACCCAGAAGGCGGGUGAUUUCUGCAUUUCCAACUGAGG